UGGUCAGUGUGUAGAUGUAGCUCCCGGUGUGUGUGUGUGUGUGACAGGAGAAUGGGAAUAUAAGCAGCAUGUGACAAUAUGCCUUUGUGAUCCUGUGUGCUUCAGUGGCUGGCUGUGUCAAGGAGUAUUUGUGAGGAAACCAGGAGCCAGAGCUUUGGCAUCUGCUCUCCUAAGAAGAAUGAAGGUCAGAAGGGGGAUGGGGGCAGCCUGAGGGAGGAGAGGGUGAGGAAGCCUAUCACCUUCAGCCCCCAGCCAUCAGGCUCUGAGGCUGUCGGAGGCAGCAGCUGCCAGAGGGCACCCACCACCUCAGUUUGGGUGGUCCUCUGCCAGGACUUCCUGGAGGCUGAGAACACUGGGCUCUAGGACCAGAGCCGUGGCAUAGCCUGCAGCAGAGGUCUGGGAUAGGGGAGCACUCUACUUCUGCUUUUCGGUCUGUCGCUCUGCCAUAGUCUAUAGUGCCUGCUAUAUGCCAAGGAGGUGCCCAGCUGUGAGAGAUGAUGGGGCUCCGAAACAGGGUCUCAUCGUAACAUUAACUACAUCAGAAGGCACUUUCGGUGAAUUGUAGAGAGGCCUCUGGACACUGAUAACAGCUCCCUGGGAAGCAGCACAGAGGAGAUGGCAGGCGGGUGGAGGACGUGGUGGUGCCCUGGGACUGCUGGCACAGGUGCAGGAGCUCAGGCCCAGCCAGGGAAUCAAGAGGAAUCCUGGGACAGACCAGAAAGGGAGGACUGUAAAGGAGCCUGUUUUUCCUGCUACUCUUAGAUACUGGAUCUCAAAUAAGCAGUUUGGGAGAGGAAGGAUGGACUGAGUGCUGGGGCCUAAGACUGGACUGCCUUCUAGCCCCAGGAAAAGUGGAAUCUACCUCCUACCCAGCCAUCUCUUUUCUCUGCCUCACCUGACCCAGAGUAGUAAGCCCAGAGCUGAGAUUUGCAACUUUUGGAAAACACACAAAAACCCUGGCCAGUGUUACCAUGUCAAUGACAA
Molecule: long non-coding RNA, 984 nt
Organism: Fukomys damarensis (Damara mole-rat)
Lineage: Eukaryota; Metazoa; Chordata; Mammalia; Rodentia; Bathyergidae
Exons: 4
Source: RefSeq, a predicted model, not a curated record